Molecule: ribosomal RNA, 1344 nt
Filed under: metagenome
Description: bacterial LSU rRNA
Rfam family: Bacterial large subunit ribosomal RNA
Source: RNAcentral
UGAGUGCGAGCUGCUACGGCAGCGAAGUUGGUGACGUCAAGCUUCCAAGAAAAGCCCUAUACCCGUUAAGGCAUCAUGGCCUGUACCCGAAACCGACACAGGUGGGGUGGUAGAGAAUACCGAGGGGCGCGAGGUAACUCUCUCUAAGGAACUCGGCAAAAUGGCCCCGUAACUUCGGGAGAAGGGGUGCCACCGCAAGGUGGUCGCAGUGAAGAGGCCCAGGCGACUGUUUACCAAAAACACAGGUCUCCGCUAAGUCGCAAGACGAUGUAUGGGGGCUGACGCCUGCCCAGUGCCGGAAGGUUAAGGAAGCUGGUCAGCGCAAGCGAAGCUGGCGACUGAAGCCCCGGUGAACGGCGGCCGUAACAAUAACGGUCCUAAGGUAGCGAAAUUCCUUGUCGGGUAAGUUCCGACCCGCACGAAAGGCGUAACGAUCUGGGCGCUGUCUCGGAGAGAGGCUCGGCGAAAUAGAAUUGUCUGUGAAGAUGCGGACUACGUGCACCCGGACAGAAAGACCCUAUGAAGCUUUACUGUAGCUUGGUAUUGUGCCCGGGCUCUGAAUGCGCAGGAUAGGUGGGAGGCUUUGAUCAUCGGCUUGCGGGUCGAUGUGAGCCAACGGUGAGAUACCACUCUUUCAGAGCUAGGGUUCUAACAGUCACCCGUUAUCCGGGGACUGGACAGUAUCAGGUGGGCAGUUUGACUGGGGCGGUCGCCUCCUAAAAGGUAACGGAGGCGCGCAAAGGUCUGCUCAGGCUGGUUGGAAAUCAGCCGACGAGUGUAAAAGCAGAAGCAGGCUUGACUGUGAGACCUACAAGUCGAACAGGGAGGAAACUCGGCUUUAGUGAUCCGACGGUUCUGCGUGGAAGGGCCGUCGCUCAACGGAUAAAAGUUACUCUAAGGAUAACAGGCUGAUCUCCCCCAAGAGUUCACAUCGACGGGGAGGUUUGGCACCUCGAUGUCGGCUCAUCGCAACCUGGGGCUGAAGUCGGUCCCAAGGGUUGGGCUGUUCGCCCAUUAAAGCGGUACGCGAGCUGGGUUCAGAACGUCGUGAGACAGUUCGGUCCAUAUCCGGUGCAUGCGCAGGAAUAUUGAGAGGAGUUCUCCCUAGUACGAGAGGACCGGGAGGAACGCACCUCUGGUGUACCAGUUAUCGUGCCAACGGUAAACGCUGGGUAGCCAUGUGCGGAGAGGAUAACCGCUGAAAGCAUCUAAGUGGGAAGCCCACCUCAAGAUGAGUAUUCCCAUGGCGUUAGCCAGUAAGGUCACGGGAAGAACACCCGUUGAUAGGCUCUAUGUGGAAGCGCAGUAAUGCGUGAAGCAGAGGAGUACUAAUAGACCGAGGGC